Molecule: long non-coding RNA, 434 nt
Filed under: Mytilus galloprovincialis (Mediterranean mussel)
Lineage: Eukaryota; Metazoa; Mollusca; Bivalvia; Mytilida; Mytilidae
Source: RNAcentral
AUAUCGGUAUAAAAAUGAGACUGUUCUAUGACGGCUUUUAUUUAUUGAAGGCACUAAUUUAUAAAAUACAAAAUUAUUGUAUUUAUUGGCUCUUAGUAAUGUUCAAUAGCGUAUUUGAAUAAAAUUUCAAAGACUUAAAUUUACUACAAUACAAACAAUUCUUAACUCUAUUUUAGAACAUGUAAUUUAAACUUGUUGAAAUGAAGUUAGUUUAAAAUUUGUCAAAGUAAGCUUUAAGAAUUCCUUUUUUUUUAAAUUCGUCUUUUAAUUUAGAUUUAUCAUGCAUGUCUCUAAACAUAGUAUGCGACGCGUAACAGUUUAUAAGUAGGUGUUCUCAUAUAUGCAUUUGAUACGGUGCAUUUAUUAUAGAUAUAUUUCAGACUCCAUUUAUGAAAGAAAAUUUAUAAAGCAGAGCAUUUUUUUUUUGUAGCUCU